GUGGGGAAUCUUCCGCAAUGGACGAAAGUCUGACGGAGCGACGCCGCGUGAGUGAUGAAGGCCUUCGGGCCGUAAAGCUCUGUCAUCGGGGACGAACGGCCUCAGCAGGUAAUGGCUGGGGAUUGACGGUACCCGAGAAGGAAGCCACGGCUAACUACGUGCCAGCAGCCGCGGUAAUACGUAGGUGGCAAGCGUUGUCCGGAAUUAUUGGGCGUAAAGCGCGCGCAGGUGGGAUCUUAAGUCCAUUUUGAAAGUUCGGAGCUCAACUCCGUGAUGGGAUGGAAACUGGGAUUCUUGAGUACCGGAGAGGAAAGCGGAAUUCCCCGUGUAGCGGUGAAAUGCGUAGAUAUGGGGAGGAACACCAGUGGCGAAGGCGGCUUUCUGGACGGUGUCUGACACUGAGGCGCGAAAGCCAGGGGAGCGAACGGGAUUAGAAACCCUUGUAGUCC
RNAcentral lists this ribosomal RNA (449 nucleotides) under uncultured bacterium. RNAcentral's name for it is "partial 16S ribosomal RNA". It matches the Rfam family "Bacterial small subunit ribosomal RNA", at positions 354 to 796 of the family's 1533-position model. The record is from RNAcentral.